AUUUAUAUAGUAUAAACAGUAUAUUUGACUUCCAAUCAUAAGGUCUAUUAUUUAUAGUAUAAAUA
This 65-nucleotide transfer RNA is filed under the name Pherbellia dubia. RNAcentral describes it as "tRNA-Gly". Lineage: Eukaryota; Metazoa; Arthropoda; Insecta; Diptera; Sciomyzidae. The record is from RNAcentral.